GGUAGCCGGCCUGAGAGGGCGACCGGCCACACUGGGACUGAGACACGGCCCAGACUCCUNCRKRAGGCAGCAGUGGGGAAUAUUGCGCAAUGGGCGGAAGCCUGACGCAGCGACGCCGCGUGGGGGAUGACGGCCUUCGGGUUGUAAACCUCUUUMGCCAGGGACGAAGCGCAAGUGACGGUACCUGGAUAAGAAGCACCGGCCAACUACGUGCCAGCAGCCGCGGUAACACGUAGGGUGCGAGCGUUGUCCGGAAUUAUUGGGCGUAAAGAGCUCGUAGGCGGUCUGUCGCGUCGGUCGUGAAAACUUGGGGCUUAACCCUGAGCUUGCGGUCGAUACGGGCAUGACUGGAGUUCGGCAGGGGA
Molecule: ribosomal RNA, 365 nt
Filed under: uncultured bacterium
Lineage: Bacteria
Description: bacterial SSU rRNA
Rfam family: Bacterial small subunit ribosomal RNA
Source: RNAcentral